RNAcentral lists this ribosomal RNA (471 nucleotides) under Rhizophagus intraradices. Its description in RNAcentral is "eukaryotic LSU rRNA". It matches the Rfam family "Eukaryotic large subunit ribosomal RNA", at positions 288 to 629 of the family's 3401-position model. The record is from RNAcentral. Lineage: Eukaryota; Fungi; Glomeromycota; Glomeromycetes; Glomerales; Glomeraceae.
UAAAAUGGGAGGUAAAUUUCUCCUAAGGCUAAAUAACGGCGAGAGACCGAUAGCGAACAAGUACCGUGAGGGAAAGAUGAAAAGAACUUUGAAAAGAGAGUUAAACAGUACGUGAAAUUGUUGAAAGGGAAACGAUUGAAGCCAGUCGUACCUUCGGGUAAUCAGCCUUUCGGGUGCGAUUCUGUGGAGUGUGAGGAGCUUAACACCUUCAUGCUUUGCAUAUUUGUGCUCUUGGGUGUACUUGCUCGUGUGGUUGGUUAACAUCGAUUUUGAUUAUCAUAAAAUGAUUGGAGGAAUGUAGCUUCGAUCUCGUAUUGAAGUGUUAUAGCCUCCGGUAGAUGUGAUGAUCGAGAUUGAGGAUUGCAACGGAUACCCUUCGGGGCUACCUGUCUGGUCUCUGAUCGUUGCUCUGGUGCCGAAAGCGUGCUUACGGUCAUCUAAGUCGAUGGUCAAUAGGUUAGAACGGGUUAA